This 420-nucleotide ribosomal RNA is filed under the name Pseudonocardia sp. XMU53. RNAcentral's name for it is "bacterial SSU rRNA". It matches the Rfam family "Bacterial small subunit ribosomal RNA", at positions 41 to 478 of the family's 1533-position model. The record is from RNAcentral. Lineage: Bacteria; Bacillati; Actinomycetota; Actinomycetes; Pseudonocardiales; Pseudonocardiaceae.
GGCGUGCUUAACACAUGCAAGUCGAGCGGUAAGGCCCUUCGGGGUACACGAGCGGCGAACGGGUGAGUAACACGUGGGUGACCUGCCCUCAGCUCUGGGAUAAGCCUGGGAAACCGGGUCUAAUACCGGAUAGGACUGCAUGCUUCAUGGUGUGUGGUGGAAAGUUUUUUCGGCUGGGGAUGGGCCCGCGGCCUAUCAGCUUGUUGGUGGGGUGAUGGCCUACCAAGGCGACGACGGGUAGCCGGCCUGAGAGGGCGACCGGCCACACUGGGACUGAGACACGGCCCAGACUCCUACGGGAGGCAGCAGUGGGGAAUAUUGCGCAAUGGGCGGAAGCCUGACGCAGCGACGCCGCGUGGGGGAUGACGGCCUUCGGGUUGUAAACCUCUUUCGCCAGGGACGAAGCGCAAGUGACGGUAC